RNAcentral lists this ribosomal RNA (461 nucleotides) under uncultured bacterium. Its description in RNAcentral is "partial 16S ribosomal RNA". It matches the Rfam family "Bacterial small subunit ribosomal RNA", at positions 28 to 507 of the family's 1533-position model. The record is from RNAcentral.
GAUGAACGCUGACAGAAUGCUUAACACAUGCAAGUCUUUGGCGAAGCUGUGCUUGCACCGCCUAGCCAAGGCGGACGGGUGAGUAACGCGUAAGGAACUUGCCCUGCAGUCAGGGAUAACGAAGGAAAAGACCGAUAAAACCUGGUAAAGUCAGGCGGGACCAUGUCCAGCCUGAUGAAAAGAGAUGCUGCAGGAGAGCCUUGCGUCCCAUUAGCUUGUUGGUGGGGUAACGGCCCACCAAGGCGAUGAUAGGUAGCCGGCCUGAGAGGGUGGACGGCCACAAGGGGACUGAGAUACGGCCCUUACUCCUACGGGAGGCAGCAGUGGGGAAUAUUGGACAAUGGGGGCAACCCUGAUCCAGCAAUUCUGUGUGCACGAUGAAGGUUUUCGGAUUGUAAAGUGCUUUCAGCAGGGAAGAAAAAAUGACGGUACCUGCAGAAGAAGCGACGGCUAAAUACGUG